Branchiostoma floridae (Florida lancelet) is the source of this 1494-nucleotide long non-coding RNA. RefSeq lists it as uncharacterized. The transcript is spliced from 3 exons. Lineage: Eukaryota; Metazoa; Chordata; Leptocardii; Amphioxiformes; Branchiostomatidae. The record is from RefSeq and is a predicted model, not a curated record.
UAUAUAGGCCCUUCCAAUCACAUGAUGCGAGCGCGGAUUACACGAACUCGCGAGUGGGUCAGCUGUGUGAGAGAUCAAGUGAGAGAUCUUAUUAUUCCUCUUGAAAGUACCUCAAAAACUCAUGUCUUGUCUAGCUAGGUUCUCUAAAGAUAGCCCUGUUCCUAUUUAUCAGUAGAGAUAGGAGUGGACCGUCCGAUGGCAGCUUGUUUGAGAGAGCAAGUUCAACCCGGCCUUGGACCCAAGUUGGAGAGAGAUCUCAUAGUCAUACGGAAACAACAACAACAGAUUUUGAUACAGAAGAUGGCAGAGCGGACUGCACACAUGGACCUGAACUUCUUGACCACAGCAUGAACUUGAUGAAGUAGUGGUGGAAGAAUUCACAUGGUAUAACCUCCUUGGUACGGAAGACGAGAGUGAAGAUCAUGAUGGAAAUGUGAUUCAAGUUGAGGAGGAACGCACAGAUGAGUACUACUGUUUUGCCUUGAAUUUAAAAAGAAUCAAUUAAUGGCAGUCUCUGCACUAUCGUGCACUGAUCUUCCCAACAAACAGAAACACAGUAUGAAAAAUCAAUACAGUAUUUGAUUGCAACUGAUGUGUAGGGUAAGGAGGCGCACUUUCAACUAUUCUAUGAAUGAUGUUAAUUUUAAGGACGAAUUUUAAGGCUAUUCAACUUGAUUGGUCAUUGGUCCUUUGAAGUUGACUUUGACCCCACGUUACGAAGAGAUGCAUACACAUCUCAGUCCUCCGUCUGCGUAGAGCUCCCGCUGUCUCCCCCUAACUCCUCCUGACCACCGCGAAAGCAGAAAACUCGUCACCACCGAGAACGGUUUUGGAUGCCGAAGGGAGCUCGAGGGCUUAGCGGUCUCGCGUACGGGGGACCUUUGCUUCCCCUGAAGAUUUGGUGUUAUGCUUCCUUGCGGACGACGAGACAUUUUGACAGUUUUCCUCGUGUACUGAAUAUUGUGUCUGCUUUGCAGGAGGUAUAGAGCUAUGUUUGCUGUGUUGGAUGCCAUCGAGUACGACUGAAUUUUUGGUGGCCAGCCACACCUUUUGUAACCCUUGUGUUUUUUAUUGUUAGUGUUCUAGGGGAUUUUUUCCUAUUUGGGGAGGAAAGACCCAGGGAACAGAGCUGGCUGCAUUAUAUGAUUUUUUCUUUCAGCGUUUAAUCCGCUUAACUUAAUCCUGGCCAGGGUGAGUUAAGGACGCCUUUAGUUCAUGCUGACGUUUUGUCCCAUUUUGGAGCUGUGUGAUUCUUGUGUGAUUUCUUGAUUUUGUGAAUGUUUUAAGCCGAAUCGGAGCUACAUGAGAUAGAUCUUUGUGCAGAAACAAGAUGGCGGUUCUCUUUGAAAUCUUUUGUCUCGCCAAUCUACUGUAAUACUCCAUCAGGGAAAGAUAUGGAUGCUGGCAUUUAUUGCUGAGGUGUGGAGCAGAAUGAAAGUUUCCAGAUUUUGAUGUCUUUUAUUUUUGGUAAUAUUUCAGGCAGAAACAGAGGAC